Molecule: microRNA precursor, 143 nt
Filed under: Plutella xylostella (diamondback moth)
Lineage: Eukaryota; Metazoa; Arthropoda; Insecta; Lepidoptera; Plutellidae
Description: microRNA pxy-mir-184 precursor
Gene: pxy-mir-184
Source: miRBase by way of RNAcentral
AUUGAAUUUCAUUAGUUCUCUCCGCGCGGAGCUAGACGGAUGUUGCUGACCUACUUGCGAUCUCGACGGAUCACGCGCAGCAGUUUAAAUUGUUUGUCGGAUGUUUUUGUUCUUUAUAUAGACGGAGAACUGAUAAGUUCGUG